AUGCUUGGGCGUGGAUCUCUACUCCCAGAGCCAGCAUGGAGUCAGCUUUUGUAUGAGGAUAUUGGGGCCGUUGUCUUCCUCAAUCCUGCAAGCCAGACUUCGUCGCUGUUCCCACUCGAGGAAGGCCGACAUGUCGUCGUCUUCCUCCACAGCGGCAACAUCCUUCGACCUACAGGAGGCUUUCACUUGAUGAGUUGCCUAAAAGAAGUUCCGACACUCAGAGGUGGCAACCACACUGAGUGGAGGAAGAAAGUUGAACUGGCGUUUGUUUGUGCUGAUCUUGACUGGGUUGUGGAGAAACCACAGCCGGUCAGACCCACAGACCAAGUAAGAGAGGCUACUGAUGAUGAUGCUGCAUGGGCUAAAAAGAAAGGGGACUAUGCUCCUUUGGAGCAGUCCUACCUCAUAGAUAAUCAAAAGUGGGUCAAUGCAAAUAAAAAAUGCAUGGCUUUUAUAAAGAACACCAUUGAGAGCGCCAUUGUGGGCUCCAUUGCAGAGUGCACUUCCACAGGGGAGUUGCUCUCAAAGAUAAAGAGCCAGUUCACUGGCUCUUCAAAGAUAUAUGCCACCCAGGUGUUAGAGCAACUGGUGACAGAAAAAUACACAGGUGGUAGUCAUGGCAUAAGAGAGCACAUCCUCAGGAUGAGCAAUAUGGCAGCAAAGCUCAAACCCAUGGAUGCGGAUCUGGAGAUAAAACCAGUGCUCCUGGUCCACCUUGUCAUGGCUUCAUUGCCGAAGGAUUUUGAAGCUUUUGUUGUGAACUAUAAUAUGUCACCUGGAACAUGGGACGUUGAAAAGACAAUAGCAAUGUGUGUUCAAGAGGAGGAGAGACUCAAAGCCUCACAUGGUGGUACACUCAACUAUGUGCAGGGUCACAAAAGAAAGAAUUACAAUCUAAACAACAAAAGUUCUCCUUCAAAGCCACAAGGAAAAGUUUCUAUCAGCAUCAGCGUCAGCAACAACCUUUCUCAGUGGACAAAGACACUUGUCUCCACUGUAAGAAGACUGGGCAUUACAAGAAAGACUGCCCUGUUUGGCUAA
This 1041-nucleotide ribosomal RNA is filed under the name Triticum aestivum (bread wheat). Its description in RNAcentral is "partial small subunit ribosomal RNA". Lineage: Eukaryota; Viridiplantae; Streptophyta; Magnoliopsida; Poales; Poaceae. The record is from RNAcentral.